GAAUAGUUACGGAGAACUCUUCUUCCACAUGACUACACCAAUGGAUUUUCUGACAGCAACCGAUGCUCUUCCCACUCCUAACGGCACAAGGAGUAACUGAUUAACAAAGCAACCUCGGUAGCAAGAAUACUAUAUAAUAGAUAAAGUUGCAUUAGUUAAAAGUAGACUUUCAAGAUAUGUCAUCCUAUAGAUAUUCUUAUAUUACAAGUUGGCGGUUUCGAAUGCAACUAGAGCGUGGAGAAGAAACUCAACAUAGGUGCAAUAAGAAUAUUCAAGAAAUUCGCAGAACGAUUUCACGUCACGUGUAUUCGGUGUUAACGAUUUGUCGCUAAACGUGACAAGUCUUUAAUAAGCUUUAGCUUCUUGGCGUUGAGUACCAACGGGGCGAUGGUUCUUCAUCAAGAAGUCGCUGUGUUCUUGAUAUGGUGAGUUGUUGAAUACCGUUUCGGUCCACAAGUCAGGAGUCAAGUAAGCGUACGUUUUAGCAAUGGCAGCGUAAGUUGCCUUGGC
Molecule: long non-coding RNA, 510 nt
Organism: Daphnia magna
Lineage: Eukaryota; Metazoa; Arthropoda; Branchiopoda; Diplostraca; Daphniidae
Exons: 2
Source: RefSeq, a predicted model, not a curated record